This is a long non-coding RNA of Lytechinus variegatus (green sea urchin), 2426 nucleotides long. RefSeq lists it as uncharacterized. The record is from RefSeq and is a predicted model, not a curated record. The transcript has 2 exons. NCBI's taxonomy places the organism in Eukaryota, Metazoa, Echinodermata, Echinoidea, Temnopleuroida, Toxopneustidae.
ACAUAGUGCAAUGCAUCGUCAUCAUCCUACUAGAGGUCCUGAAUCCAAAAAUAGCAGAAACAGAAUUGUCCAAAUAAAGAACAACCAUUUAGAUCUAUUUAUGGCAUAUACAUGUAGGCCUAUUAAUAUUAACACCUACACAAUAAAAAAAACAGGUAUUUUCUGAUCAGGUAUUUUGCCAGUGUGAAAGCGCUGUAAUAGUGAUAUGACCAAAAACAAAUGUCCAGAUGCAAAAUGAUGACUUUAAUAUUAUUAGACUUUCUCAGGGAUUUUUCCAAGAACAUACUAUCAGCUGUAUUGCAAGGAAUUUUUUUUUAAUGAAAGAAGUCAUAUUCAUCUUCGGUUCUUGUGUAAUUAGUAAUUGAUAGAUUCUAAAAUGACACAAAGAACUGAGGAAACGAAUGCUUGAAACUGAAUAUUUAUCAUACAGCUCUGUACUACUUUUGUGAAUUUUCUUUGAUUCUGUUUCUGCUUCUGAAGCGAAUGGAUUUGUAAUUGAACUCUUUAGUAAUAAUCUAAAAUGUAAUCAAACUUUCAUGCUCAUGGAUAAAUGCAGUCCUUGCUCUCAGCAUUUUCCACAUGAAAGCUUGAAGUGGAAAAGGUCAACAAUCCAAUAAUUCACACUGGAUAUUGACUAAUAUUUUGAAGUGAUGAUGAGGAAACGAUUGCAUGUACAUUGACAGAUCAGAGGCAACAAGCUGGGAGACAUACUCCAUAAGUAGGCCAGGGUUUUUAUCAGGAUAUAGCAUUAAAUGAGAUAAAAUACCUGGCCUCCGUACAAAUAUAUUUUGGAUUUGAGCUGUGAUGUUGGUGCUUACCUGUUUAGAAGAUAUGCAGUAUGCAUUUAGAGCUCUGGAGAAUGUGGGUCAGUUCUUCUGUCCAUCCCCUGUGACCAGUCUGACCACCAUGUCUCAGACCAGCAAUACAAUUCUGUGUGGAGAUCAACUUGGAAACGUCUACCUGCUUGAAUGGAAACAAUAAGAUCAGACAAUUUGAACACUAAUUUUGUCCGUCUUGUGGGGUGUGAGAGUUCAACGUUUAGCCGAUUUCUGCUAUUUAUUGUUUUGAUUUUCAGCUUAACUCCAGAUUAAUUCAAACUCUCUUACAGCAUUUUUCAGCUCUUUCACUCCCCUGAUCUUGUUAACUCUCAACUUCAACUUUUUUAGCUGAUUUAAGUUAUUUGGGAUUUUGAUUUUCAGUUUAAUUUCAGCUUUUGUCUAACACUCUGUAGCAUUUCAUUUUAUUUAUUUUAUUUUAUUUAUGAUAAUUUACACCCUUGAUCUUGGUGACUCGACUGUUGACUUUUUUUCAUGAAAAGGCAAAGCAUGGUAUAAAAUAUUUGUUGAUAUUAAAAUCAUAAAUUUCCGUUCAGACAUAAGACCAGACAUCAGCGUUGUUCAAGUGUUUGAUCUGCCUGAUAUCUAAAUUUCAUUUGAAUUUAUAGAUAAGACUAAUCAAAAAGAGUAGUGUUUGAUAAUUUUAGUUCUAUUUGUUCUGAUUUGUUUUGUGUUUUUAUCACCAUUUACUACCAUGAGCUCCAAAUUGGAGGAUUUUAGAUUAUGCUGCCAAUUAUCAAAAUUCAUUUUGACAUAAGCCAAGAGUAUUACAUUUGCAUGAUGCCCCUCUUUGUGACAUUAGUUGUAACAUGUACUUAUUGCAAGACAGUGAUGUUAUGUACUUUUUAAUAUUUUCUUUGGUUUGCUACUUAUAAUGAAAAUGAGAUUUAGAAUGUAGUAUUUGUAGAUCAUAUUGUGGAAACUAAUUUCUCCAUGGUGAAUAUUAAUAUGCAACGAUAGCAUUUUUAUUUUGCACAUUGUAUAGUGCAUCAAAUAUUUUUAUUAUUAACAACAAAAAAUUGACCAUUGUAGCUACUGUAUGCUAAAAUUUAGAAGAUCAUAUUUUCUGAUACAUGUUAUACUAGAAUGUGUUUGAAUCAUACAAAUACAAGCAUUAAUUAAUUUCAUUGUUAGUAUUGAAACAAAUAGCUGUUUCAUGGAUAUGAGAAAAUAGAUAAUUAAUUGAUAUGUUUUGGAAGUCUUUGUGAUAUCAUUGCUUGAUGUAAAAUUAAAGAUUGUUAUGGGUGGAGAGUGUGUUCCCUCUUUCCUGUAUAUUUAGAUAGAUUAUUCAUGUCUUUCAUUUUUUGUAUGAUCAGCCUUUAUAAAAAGAUAUUAAAAGUAUAAUAUAUAUAAUUUCUAUGUAUAACAUGCUAUUCAAUUGUUCUAUGCAGUGUAGCUGCUACAUAAAUAAAUCUAUACAUUUUUUUCUUUUAUUUAGGGCUUUAGGCAAUAUUGACUCUGUUAUAUCAUAAUGUUUUGUUGUCUUGUACUAUGCUUUUUGUAAAACUUUAUCUUUAUUAAAUUGAAAGUGGCGCCCCUCACCACCCGAUGCUUUUUGCAGAACUUUGCUGUUGAUAAUCAUCUGUUCUU